ACAGUGGUGGUUCAGUGGUAGAAUUCUUGCCUUCCGUGUGAGAGACCCAGGUUCAAUUCCUAGCCAAUGCA
This 71-nucleotide transfer RNA is filed under the name Loxodonta africana (African savanna elephant). It matches the Rfam family "tRNA". From Rfam's summary of the family: Transfer RNA (tRNA) molecules are approximately 80 nucleotides in length. Their secondary structure includes four short double-helical elements and three loops (D, anti-codon, and T loops). Further hydrogen bonds mediate the characteristic L-shaped molecular structure. tRNAs have two regions of fundamental functional importance: the anti-codon, which is responsible for specific mRNA codon recognition, and the 3' end, to which the tRNAs corresponding amino acid is attached (by aminoacyl-tRNA synthetases). tRNAs cope with the degeneracy of the genetic code in two manners: having more than one tRNA (with a specific anti-codon) for a particular amino acid; and 'wobble' base-pairing, i.e. permitting non-standard base-pairing at the 3rd anti-codon position. The record is from Rfam by way of RNAcentral. Lineage: Eukaryota; Metazoa; Chordata; Mammalia; Proboscidea; Elephantidae.